RNAcentral lists this ribosomal RNA (485 nucleotides) under uncultured bacterium. RNAcentral's name for it is "bacterial SSU rRNA". It matches the Rfam family "Bacterial small subunit ribosomal RNA", at positions 30 to 508 of the family's 1533-position model. The record is from RNAcentral.
AUUGAACGCUGGCGGCAUGCCUUACACAUGCAAGUCGAACGGCAGCACGGAGCUUGCUCUGGUGGCGAGUGGCGAACGGGUGAGUAAUAUAUCGGAACGUACCCUGGAGUGGGGGAUAACGUAGCGAAAGUUACGCUAAUACCGCAUACGAUCUAAGGAUGAAAGUGGGGGAUCGCAAGACCUCAUGCUCGUGGAGCGGCCGAUAUCUGAUUAGCUAGCUGGUAGGGUAAAAGCCUACCAAGGCAUCGAUCAGUAGCUGGUCUGAGAGGACGACCAGCCACACUGGAACUGAGACACGGUCCAGACUCCUACGGGAGGCAGCAGUGGGGAAUUUUGGACAAUGGGCGAAAGCCUGAUCCAGCAAUGCCGCGUGAGUGAAGAAGGCCUUCGGGUUGUAAAGCUCUUUUGUCAGGGAAGAAACGGCGGUUUCUAAUACAGAUCGCUAAUGACGGUACCUGAAGAAUAAGCACCGGCUAACUACGUGC